GGGAAUCUCAGGGCAGGAAGAAAAACAGGGGAACUGCCUGGGCCAGUUUGUCCUCUCUGCACCCUGUCUUCUCCACACCCUACCUCCAGCCUCCUGAACGAGCUGCUCAGGAAAGAUGAUUUGGACUGGAAAGGGAAGAGAAUCAAAGGGAAGCCGAAGGGCUGGUAGACCCCGACAGAAAGAUAUGCACCCUGAUGUCUGGGCAGGCAUCUGCCUUCCUACCUUGGGUCUAACUCUGGAAACUACCAGAGCAGUGAGGAGUAUUCUGCUCCACACAGUCCUUUCUCUCCUAUUGCUGGGAAGAAUGUGAAAGCAUCCCUGCUCUAAGCCCUGCUACUGCCAGAAAGGAGACAGCCUCCCAGAGGCCACAGACAGACAACUCAGUGGGGAAGUGUUCGUGCUCCCGCAGGCUCUUCAGAGUGAGGCCCAGGGAGCUGCCGACUGACUCGAAGGUGACCUUCCCUUGGAAUGAGGAGGCCAUAGCACUGACCUGUGCCUGGACUGAUGACAGAAGACCAGAUGCGACUGGGUGACUCAGGAAAUGCCUGCAUGAUGACAUGAUUAAAUAACCCCCUCUCUCUUUGGCCUCAGGUAAACCCUGGGAAUAGGCAGAGAGACACUGAAUUCAUGGAAAGUUCUUGCCUACUAGGAUAAUGAAGACUUCUGAUGGAAAUUAGGUUGAAUUCAAAUAAAACUGCAUGGAUGGCACUCCUGAAAUCUGUGGACUGAAAUCUGUGGCCUCUGCUUAUUCAUGACACAAGAACAUAAACAAUGGAGCACUUAGCAAAACGGGGUGACCUCAAGAGGCUACUCAGACUCCAAGUCCCAGGCCUUUCCUCAGGUCUGCUUGGGGCUGAUCCUGGAAGAGAACCUAGGGUUGUGCGCACUGACUUGCAGUGCACCCCCCUCACCCACUCCCAGUGAUUCCCACAGCCUGUCAAGCUAGCAGAGGCAGGAGCCCGAGGUUGCCCCAAGCGUUCACAGGCAAGGGGGAAACAACCAGCACAAUGGCUUAAUCCUCACCUCCUUCCCAGCUCCUGGGGAACUGGACCUUUUAGCAUGGACAGAAGUCUUUAAAAUAGAAAGGAUCGUGGAUGUCCAAGUAUUGCAAGAAGUGGCUUUGAGAGAAUAAGGUCUCCUGAGGCCUUGUUGUAAUGACUGGUACUUUUCCUCUACGCACAGCAUGGGCCAUCUGACCACCAAGCGCGAAGGCUUCAGCUGCGUCCCAUGAUCUUGGCCCAGUGCUAUCUGUACUGAGGGUGGGGAAUUUCAUGAGUCUCACCUCUAUAGUUGAGUCUCUGUACAGUUUUUCCAAGACUGGAGAAUGACUCCUGCUCAACAAUCCAUCCACUAAGCAGACUCCAUGUCACCUUCAGGAACAUUAGGCUUCAAAUCCCUAUGAAAAGUUUCCUCCUUUGUUGCUGGAAGACAAGUAAGCCAGACCUAGUGUCAUCUCAACCACCCAGAACAUUCCCAACUCUGCUGAAUUUGUAAAACAUCCAAAGAGCACGUGGAAUCCUCAUAGAUAGAUAUUGUCAUUGUCCCUCUGUUCUACAGCUGAGGGCAUUGAGGUUUUGGAGUGGCUGGGCUGGAAAACAGAUGAGAGAGCUUUCCCAUCUGGAAGCUGGAGGGAACUAUGCGGGCACCAGAAUUUGAACCCAUGAACACCAGAUCUUUCUGACUUCAGAAUAGAAGCAGAAAAUAAAUAACUAUAAUGAAUGAGCCAAAGGGACUCACCUAAAAUUACUUCAAAAAAUAUGCAUUUAAUGACCCUGUCCCUAUAGAAAAGAUUGACAUUCCGUCUGCUUAAUAUGAGAUUGGUAAGUCCACAUUUUCUUGCAAGUUUUUGCCUCAUGUUUUAUUUUUUCUUUCCCACAUCUGUGAACUGAUCUGUCUCUGAGAGCCCAAAAAGAGCUCCUAAGAUGCUCAUGACAUCUUCCAGAGCCUCCAGACCCUUCAUGUUUGCGGCCUCCCUCUGAAGAAAUAAGACAACUGGGGAGCCUCCUGGGAAACUAGGCAGGGCCCCAGAGAGAUCAGAGCCCUGGGGGGCUUAGUUUCUAGGAAACCUGUGCCCACAGGGGUGCUGCAGAGUGCAAGGCCAACAUCCUUUGUCUCUAAGAAGGC
This 2124-nucleotide long non-coding RNA is filed under the name Homo sapiens (human). RNAcentral describes it as "HSALNT0054884". Lineage: Eukaryota; Metazoa; Chordata; Mammalia; Primates; Hominidae. The record is from RNAcentral.